UAAAGAAGCUAAAAUUGAAAAGAUGAAGUCUUCGAAGCGAGCGGCAACAGAGAACAACAGAGGCAUAAGUGGGCACAUGUAUACCCUUCACCAGCGCCUCUUUCACGCUCUCAGCCUCGGCACAAGAGUUUAUGAUGGUAAGGAAUCAAAAUGGCAGUGUACGGAUAUUGAGAUACAGAGACACGUAAUUCGGUCAAUUGCUUCCUUUCUUGAUUGUAUUUCAGGAGAAACUUUGCAACAUCCUCUAGUAAAGGAUUCACUUGCUGAUAUAGUUGGGGCAAUAGUAUGGAUUCUUCAAAAUAAAAGCAAGGCCAUAUUAAGCAUGGCAACUAAUGUGGUAGUAAAUUUGAUCAACGUUAUACCCAAUUCGUUAUUGCAGUCUUACUUGUCAGAUAUGGUCCAUCCUUUGUCAUCCUUGUUAUUGUCUCAUCAAGUAGAUGUAUCUAUUUCAUGUGCCACUGCAUUGAAUAUGAUCUUUUCAAAUCUGAGCAUGAGAGGAGAGAAAAAGGUUUGGGAUAUUCUGAUUGAAACAGAAACUGUUUCUCGCAUUGUUAGUGGCAUAUGGGAAUUUUCUGAUGGUGUUAUGCCAAUUGAAUAUUUCCAAGAGAUGACUUCGCUCUUGAGUGCAAUACUGCAUCGGUGGCCUGCAUCACGGUAUAAUGUCUGGAAUGAUGCUAAAUUGUUGGAAGUCUUGGAAGCUAUGUGUGUAAAACCUGAUUUCUCUGUUAAGGUUGCAGUUUUGAAGCUAUAUUGUACAAUAGCACUGUGUGGCAAUGGGGCCAAGAAACUUCUAGGAAAAGGAGAAUCCCUUCUACAAAUUAUGGUUCUCUGCAUGGGAAGAUCUCACCCUCUUUCUGUUCGGACUGAGGGAUUUAGACUUGCCCAAUGUUUAGCGGUAAUAAUUGUAACUUCUUGUUUCACAAGAUGUCCAACUGUGAAAUAUUAACUAUAAGUCAUUUUAUGUCUUCUAUUGCUCAGAAAAAUGAAGAGGGGUGUUUAAAAAUGAUGAGCUUAUGCUGUGAGCCUAUUGUUAAAGCUAUAAUUGAUGGAAUGACUGGAUGGACCUCUCAUUCAGGGAAGAUUGCCAAUGACCAAAUGUCUUUGCUAGUGGAAGCUUGUCAUUUGGCUUUGAUAAGUCGCUGGGCAGGGGAGCAUCAUGAUUUCUUGUGGCAGCAAGGGAUUGACAGGGUCCUCCUUAAUCUUCUUCUAAAUGACUUUCAAGAUGAACCACCACAAAAAUUGUUGUCACCAGAAGAACAGUUAUCUAUAGCACAAGAGGGUCUCAAGGUCAAUUUUCUUCUUGGUUUGAGGCCAUAUGUUUGGGACAUUCUUGGUUGGCUUGCUAUACAUUGUAGGGAGGAUUUCAAUCCUAGCAUGCAUGGCCGUGAACGUAGAAUUGACAUUCUUAUUACAUGUGCAUGCAUAUCUUUCAUGGAUUCAAUUCGUAAAGGGCACCAAAUAUGUCAAAAUGACAUAGCUGAUACCUUCAGAAGUGAAGCAGCAUCAAGGGCAGUGAUGAUGAUGAUUUAUUCGCCUUGCAAAUAUAUUGCAUCAAAAGCAAGAUUCAUACUGUAUGAAAUUCUAAGGCCAGCUAGCAAGAAGUAUCUAAAACGCUUACUGCAUAUGCUAAAUAAUACACCAUCUGAGGAUAAUUUUGGAAUGCCGAACAUGCUUCAAACUAGCAUUAACUUAGUGGCUUUGGUAUGUUAUUCUGGUAUACCAUAUUAUCAAAGUGAUAUUGUUAAAAAUGGAGGAAUCCAGGCACUUAUGGAUUUGAUAUGGUGGUGCUUAAGAAAUGAUAUCCAUAUAGGAAGGUGGAGUCUUGCUCCUCAUUUGCAUAAUAUAUUAAGUGAGAGGACUUGUUGCUGGGUAUGCAAAGAAGACUGGGAAGGCAAUAACAUUCUUUUAUUUUAUGGUCUGUGGGGAUUAGCUGAAUUGAUGCACUCUGGAUCUUCGAGAAAUAAUGUAGAAAUUUUUGGUGGCCAACUGGAUUAUACUGAAGCUGAAUUUGUUAGCACACUCCAGGAGAUAUGCAGUGACAGUACCUCUCCUGGAAUAAAAUGGUAUGGUGCAUUCAUUCUAAAUUAUUUUGGAUUUUAUGGUUUUCCAUGUAAACUUGGGAGGCGUAUUGGGAAAGCACUUAAUGUGAAUGAAUAUGCAGAUGUGCAACUCAUUCUCACAAAUGGGAACUCUUUGAGUGUCCAUGGUGUCAUUCUUUCUGCUCGAUGUCCAUCAUUGUUGCCUCCUGAAGAAAUGCCUGGUUAUGAGAAAGCGUCCAAUGGUUCUUCAGUAGGAUAUGACACAGAGAGGAAGUGUGGAAAGUUUCAUAAAGAAAUUCGUUUAUCUUCACAUGUGGAUAACCUGGCAUUGGCUAAGUUGUUGGAAUUUGUUUACAUGGGAUAUCUAAAUGCAGGAGAGGAACUUUUGAAGAAAGUGAAAUUUCUUGCAAAACGCUGUAGUUUACAACCUCUGUUAAUAAUGUUUGGCAGAAGGCAUCCCAAGUGGGGCACCCCCUUCCCCAGAUAUGAUCUUUCUCUUGUGCUUGCUCCAGCUGGGCAUUAUUUUUCGUACGGCUUGCUUCUUAAUCUUCACAAGGACAUCUUGAUAUUAUGUUCAGCUUUUUUCAUGUUAUUUAUUUUCAUGAGUAAAUUACCUUAACCUCCAUCACGAUUUCUUAAAUGUCACUUGCACCAAAUAGGUACAGGUUGAGCAAUUUGUGGCUUUUUGUUCAAAAGGCAACUCUAUUAAUUGAAGAAUAUUUCCAGAUGAAUGUUUGAUUUUGUAGUUUAGAGGAAUAUUCACUUUCCAAAUUAUGGACUCUAAUUUGAUUUGUUUCUGGAUUCAGGGACAUUGUCUUGGAGGCUAAAGCAACCGAAUCAAUAUGUUGGAGAUGUAAUGUAUGCUCUAAAUCAGUGCCACAUAUGCAUUGUCAUAAAGUUGUGCUGUGGUCAAGUUGUGAUUAUCUGCGGGCCUUAUUUCAGUCAGGCAUGCUGGAGAGCAACUCCCAAACCAUAAAGGUGCCUGUGAGCUGGGAGGCCAUGGUUAGGCUAGUGAACUGGUGCUACACUGAUGAGCUGCCUAUUCCUCCCUCUGGAUGUUUAUGGGAUAAUAUGGACAGCGAGGAAAGGCUAUCUGUGCUGCAACCAUACCUAGAGCUUUGUUGGCUUGCUGAAUUCUGGUUUUUGGAAGAGGUUCAGGAUAUCAGCUAUAAAGUGAUAGUAUCCUGUUUGGAUUCUGCAAGACAUUUGUCUAUUAAGAUAAUUAAAAUCGCUGCCGAUUUAUCUCUGUGGAAAUUAGUUGAAGUUACUGCAAAUUUCUUGGCCCCUUUAUAUCGUCAACUUUGCCAAUCUGGUGAUCUUGAAGCACUGGAUGAAGAAGUAAUUGAUAUGAUUCGUACAACUUCAGUUCGGCUCUCUCAAGAAGGAUAAGCUAUUCAAGUUCAAGAUGAUCUAAAAUGCUUUGGAUUUUUUGAAGGGUGGUAGAUGUUGAAAACCGUGAAGAAUGGGAUAUUAGAAAAUUCUCUUAAUGUGAUGGGGUGUACAACAGUUAAGACUAAGCCUUUAUCUAAAACCUUUUUUUUUUCUAACAGAAAUCCCAAACUAGUUGGGGAAUGGGAUGUAAAAUAGGUAAAUUUCUUUCCUGUUAUCGGGUUCAUUUAUGUAGAUAUUGAUGUGAGCAAACGGACUAUGUUGAAGAAAGUGAAGAAGAAAUGAUAAUAAUUGAUCCGUCG
RNAcentral lists this unclassified non-coding RNA (3730 nucleotides) under Hevea brasiliensis (rubber tree). The record is from RNAcentral. Lineage: Eukaryota; Viridiplantae; Streptophyta; Magnoliopsida; Malpighiales; Euphorbiaceae.